This 1403-nucleotide long non-coding RNA is filed under the name Sorghum bicolor (sorghum). RNAcentral's name for it is "long non-coding RNA (SBIC_LNC006440)". Lineage: Eukaryota; Viridiplantae; Streptophyta; Magnoliopsida; Poales; Poaceae. The record is from RNAcentral.
AACCCUAGACCAGCUGCUACUCCCUCCUCCUCUCAUCUCUCAGCCGCCGCACAUCUCUCUCGUGCGUGCGGACUCUGUCCUAUCGAGGGUCUCGUCUGAGGGCACGGCACGGCCCUCUAGCGACAUUGCAGACCCAAGGCAUCGGCUCGCACCUCAGGCUGCGGUAGCAGCCCGAUCGGUAGGUUCCCCUCCCUCUUGAUGUGGACUUGAUUUCGAUCUCCAUGGUGUAGAUCCAGUGGAGGAGAAGAUCUACGGAUGAUGUGGCACCAUGGACCAAGGACUCCAUCUGCUGGUAGGUUCUUGCUUUGGAGAAUGAGGGAGGACGAGUAGGUCUAGAGAUUUGGCUUUGAUUAAACUAUUAAUAUCUAGUGCGGCCGUAUGGUCUUCUUGAUUCAGAAGCCCGAACAAGCUAUAGAAAUCCGGAUAGCAAACUGUGAAUUCUGGAUGGUUGAGUUUAGUUGCUACCUGGAUUAUGUUGUGUCACAAGUGGACAAAUGUAAAAUCUGGUUGUUCCUUCACGUUUGAAAUAUAGUUGCCUCAUGAUUUAUUGAGAUAAAUAAGGUGGAAUGCACAAACUUUAUCUGUAAGUUCAGUAGAACUGUAUACAUGUCCGUAGCUGAUUAACUGCUAUUAUCCUCUCUGUAUUGAAUCUAAUAUGCUGCUAAGUAUGCUAAUUUCUGUCAGCCACAUUACCUUAUUGUAACUUUCUGCAUUAUUUUGCAUUUCUUGUUGCAGUGCUUUGAGGUUGACAUCGGUUGAGAAGUACUUUUACAUACGAGGAAGUUGUUAUUAUUAGUUGUCUGCAAAUCUCAGUGUGUUUCUGUGAACUUAUGUUCAGUUUGCUGCCAUGAGCAUAUUUAUAUGAGCUCCGAACAUGUUUCUAUGAUAUUAAAAUGGGUUAAUGCAUUCUUGCUAGUGUGGGAAUCUCAAUUUUAAAGUUUUAAUCUGAACACCUAAUUUUAUGAGAUCAGUAGAUUAUUUAAUUCUCAUAUUAUUUCUGUUAAAGUUUUAAUCUGAACACCUAAUUAAAUCAUUCACUUAGCAUUUACUUGUACUUGAGAAGUGGACCAUUUGUAUGAUCGUUAAUGGCGUAAUGAAACUUAGCUGAUGCAAGUCUUCUAUACUUCUGUAGGUUUUCUUCAAACCCCGGAUGAACCUUACGAAGACGCGGAUAGGCUAAAUCAGUGGUGUGAAGAUUGAAUAUAUUAUAUAGAUUAGAGUAGAUUCUUACUGUUUUGAGGCAAAGUUGGUUUGUGCCAUUACUUGUGAUAUUCCUAAUUGUUGGUGCCAUUUUUGAACUUGAUAUAACAUGGAUUGAUUGUAUUAUACUUGUCAUUUGAAGAAUCUAGUCAUGUGUGCCUCGUGUAAUAUGAUCUCUUCAUUGAAUUGUAUUUCUUUGUCGC